CUACGGGUCGCUCCAGUGGGGAAUAUUGCACAAUGGGCGCAAGCCUGAUGCAGCCAUGCCGCGUGUAUGAAGAAGGCCUUCGGGUUGUAAAGUACUUUCAGCGGGGAGGAAGGGAGUAAAGUUAAUACCUUUGCUCAUUGACGUUACCCGCAGAAGAAGCACCGGCUAACUCCGUGCCAGCAGCCGCGGUAAUACGGAGGGUGCAAGCGUUAAUCGGAAUUACUGGGCGUAAAGCGCACGCAGGCGGUUUGUUAAGUCAGAUGUGAAAUCCCCGGGCUCAACCUGGGAACUGCAUCUGAUAAUGGCAAGCUUGAGUCUCGUAGAGGGGGGUGGAAUUCCAGGUGUAGCGGUGAAAUGCGUAGAGAUCUGGAGGAAUACCGGUGGCGAAGGCGGCCCCCUGGACGAAGACUGACGCUCAGGUGCGAAAGCGUGGGGAGCAAACAGGAUUAGAUACCCCUGUAGUC
Molecule: ribosomal RNA, 464 nt
Filed under: uncultured bacterium
Lineage: Bacteria
Description: partial 16S ribosomal RNA
Rfam family: Bacterial small subunit ribosomal RNA
Source: RNAcentral